This 58-nucleotide transfer RNA is filed under the name Ceraphron sp. MM-2014. Its description in RNAcentral is "tRNA-Ser". Lineage: Eukaryota; Metazoa; Arthropoda; Insecta; Hymenoptera; Ceraphronidae. The record is from RNAcentral.
AGAAAUAAAUAAUUAAAGCUUCUAACUUUAUAAAAAAUAUCUAUUAUUUAUAUUUCUA